CCCCAGACUCCUACGGGAGGCAGCAGUGGGGAAUAUUGCACAAUGGGGGAAACCCUGAUGCAGCGACGCCGCGUGAGUGAAGAAGUAUUUCGGUAUGUAAAGCUCUAUCAGCAGGGAAGAAAAUGACGGUACCUGACUAAGAAGCCCCGGCUAACUACGUGCCAGCAGCCGCGGUAAUACGUAGGGGGCAAGCGUUAUCCGGAUUUACUGGGUGUAAAGGGAGCGUAGACGGCAUGGCAAGUCAGAUGUGAAAGCCCGGGGCUCAACCCCGGGACUGCAUUUGAAACUGUCAGGCUGGAGUGCAGGAGAGGUAAGUGGAAUUCCUAGUGUAGCGGUGAAAUGCGUAGAUAUUAGGAGGAACACCAGUGGCGAAGGCGGCUUACUGGACUGUAACUGACGUUGAGGCUCGAAAGCGUGGGGAGCAAACAGGAUUAGAUACCCCUGUAC
This 447-nucleotide ribosomal RNA is filed under the name uncultured bacterium. RNAcentral's name for it is "bacterial SSU rRNA". It matches the Rfam family "Bacterial small subunit ribosomal RNA", at positions 329 to 793 of the family's 1533-position model. The record is from RNAcentral.